RNAcentral lists this ribosomal RNA (460 nucleotides) under uncultured bacterium. RNAcentral describes it as "partial 16S ribosomal RNA". It matches the Rfam family "Bacterial small subunit ribosomal RNA", at positions 338 to 795 of the family's 1533-position model. The record is from RNAcentral.
CCUACGGGUGGCAGCAGUGAGGAAUAUUGGUCAAUGGGCGCGAGCCUGAACCAGCCAAGUAGCGUGAAGGAUGACUGCCCUACGGGUUGUAAACUUCUUUUAUAAGGGAAUAAAGUGAGUCACGUGUGCGUUUUUGUAUGUACUUUAUGAAUAAGGAUCGGCUAACUCCGUGCAAGCAGCCGCGGUAAUACGGAGGAUCCGAGCGUUAUCCGGAUUUAUUGGGUUUAAAGGGAGCGUAGAUGGAUUGUUAAGUCAGUUGUGAAAGUUUGCGGCUCAACCGUAAAAUUGCAAUUGAUACUGGCAGUCUUGAGUACAGUAGAGGUAGGCGGAAUUCGUGGUGUAGCGGUGAAAUGCUUAGAUAUCACGAAGAACUCCGAUUGCGAAGGCAGCUCACUAAACUGCCACUGACACUGAUGCUCGAAAGUGUGGGUAUCAAACAUGAUUAGAUACCCGUGUAGUC